RNAcentral lists this ribosomal RNA (777 nucleotides) under Microbacterium halotolerans. Its description in RNAcentral is "bacterial SSU rRNA". It matches the Rfam family "Bacterial small subunit ribosomal RNA", at positions 53 to 838 of the family's 1533-position model. Lineage: Bacteria; Bacillati; Actinomycetota; Actinomycetes; Micrococcales; Microbacteriaceae. The record is from RNAcentral.
CCAUGCAGUCGACGAUGAAGCUGGUGCUUGCACUGGUGGAUUAGUGGCGAACGGGUGAGUAACACGUGAGCAACCUGCCCCUGACUCUGGGAUAAGCGCUGGAAACGGCGUCUAAUACCGGAUAUGCACUGUAGCCGCAUGGUUUGCGGUGGGAAAGAUUUAUCGGUUGGGGAUGGGCUCGCGGCCUAUCAGCUUGUUGGUGAGGUAAUGGCUCACCAAGGCGUCGACGGGUAGCCGGCCUGAGAGGGUGACCGGCCACACUGGGACUGAGACACGGCCCAGACUCCUACGGGAGGCAGCAGUGGGGAAUAUUGCACAAUGGGCGCAAGCCUGAUGCAGCAACGCCGCGUGAGGGAUGACGGCCUUCGGGUUGUAAACCUCUUUUAGCAGGGAAGAAGCCUUCGGGUGACGGUACUUGCAGAAAAAGCGCCGGCUAACUACGUGCCAGCAGCCGCGGUAAUACGUAGGGCGCAAGCGUUAUCCGGAAUUAUUGGGCGUAAAGAGCUCGUAGGCGGUUUGUCGCGUCUGCUGUGAAAACUGGAGGCUCAACUUCCAGCGUGCAGUGGGUACGGGCAGACUAGAGUGCGGUAGGGGAGAUUGGAAUUCCUGGUGUAGCGGUGGAAUGCGCAGAUAUCAGGAGGAACACCGAUGGCGAAGGCAGAUCUCUGGGCCGUUACUGACGCUGAGGAGCGAAAGGGUGGGGAGCAAACAGGCUUAGAUACCCUGGUAGUCCACCCCGUAAACGUUGGGAACUAGUUGUGGGGGCCUUUCCACGGU